GACGAACGCUGGCGGCGUGCUUAACACAUGCAAGUCGAACGGAAAGGCCUCUUUCGGGGGGUACUCGAGUGGCGAACGGGUGAGUAACACGUGAGUAACCUGCCCUUGACUUUGGGAUAACUUCAGGAAACUGGGGCUAAUACCGGAUAGGAGCUCCUGCUGCAUGGUGGGGGUUGGAAAGUUUCUGCGGUUGGGGUUGGACUCGCCGCUUAUCAGCUUGGUGGUGGGGUAGUGGCUUACCAAGGCUUUGACGGGUAGCCGGCCUGAGAGGGUGACCGGCCACAUUGGGACUGAGAUACGGCCCAGACUCCUACGGGAGGCAGCAGUGGGGAAUAGUGCACAAUGGGUGGAAGCCUGAUGCAGCAACGCCGGGUGCGGGAUGACGGCCUUCGGGUUGUAAACCGCUUUCGCUCAUGACGAAGCUUUGUGUGACGGUAGUGGGUAAAGAAGCACCGGCUAACUACGUG
This 467-nucleotide ribosomal RNA is filed under the name uncultured bacterium. RNAcentral's name for it is "partial 16S ribosomal RNA". It matches the Rfam family "Bacterial small subunit ribosomal RNA", at positions 28 to 507 of the family's 1533-position model. The record is from RNAcentral.